CCCUUAGAUGUUCUGGGCCGCACGCGUGCUACACUGAGUGGAUCAGCGGGUCAGGUUGCGCGAAAGCGUUUCCUAAUCUUUAAAUCCGCUCGUGAUGGGGAUUGACGGUUGCAAUUUUCUGUCAUGAACGAGGAAUACCUUGUAAGCGCGGGUCAUCAUCCCGCGCUGAAUACGUCCCUGCCCUUUGUACACACCGCCCGUCGCUCCUACCGAUUGAGUGGUCCGGUGAAUGUUUUGGACUGGCGUCAGAAGCGGUUCGCUCCUGACACUACGAAAUUUUGUAAACCUUAUCGCUUAGAGGAAGGAAAAGUCGUAACA
Molecule: ribosomal RNA, 318 nt
Filed under: uncultured eukaryote
Lineage: Eukaryota
Description: partial 18S ribosomal RNA
Rfam family: Eukaryotic small subunit ribosomal RNA
Source: RNAcentral